UGGCGGCAGGCCUAACACAUGCAAGUCGAGCGGAUGAGAAGAGCUUGCUCUUCGAUUCAGCGGCGGACGGGUGAGUAAUGCCUAGGAAUCUGCCUGGUAGUGGGGGACAACGUUUCGAAAGGAACGCUAAUACCGCAUACGUCCUACGGGAGAAAGCAGGGGACCUUCGGGCCUUGCGCUAUCAGAUGAGCCUAGGUCGGAUUAGCUAGUUGGUGAGGUAAUGGCUCACCAAGGCGACGAUCCGUAACUGGUCUGAGAGGAUGAUCAGUCACACUGGAACUGAGACACGGUCCAGACUCCUACGGGAGGCAGCAGUGGGGAAUAUUGGACAAUGGGCGAAAGCCUGAUCCAGCCAUGUCGCGUGUGUGAAGAAGGUCUUCGGAUUGUAAAGCACUUUAAGUUGGGAGGAAGGGCAUUAACCUAAUACGUUAGUGUUUUGACGUUACCGACAGAAUAAGCACCGGCUAACUCUGUGCCAGCAGCCGCGGUAAUACAGAGGGUGCAAGCGUUAAUCGGAAUUACUGGGCGUAAAGCGCGCGUAGGUGGUUUGUUAAGUUGGAUGUGAAAGCCCCGGGCUCAACCUGGGAACUGCGUCCAAAACUGGCAAGCUAGAGUACGGUAGAGGGUGGUGGAAUUUCCUGUGUAGCGGUGAAAUGCGUAGAUAUAGGAAGGAACACCAGUGGCGAAGGCGACCACCUG
This 699-nucleotide ribosomal RNA is filed under the name uncultured Pseudomonadales bacterium. RNAcentral describes it as "bacterial SSU rRNA". It matches the Rfam family "Bacterial small subunit ribosomal RNA", at positions 37 to 731 of the family's 1533-position model. Lineage: Bacteria; Pseudomonadati; Pseudomonadota; Gammaproteobacteria; Pseudomonadales. The record is from RNAcentral.